RNAcentral lists this ribosomal RNA (301 nucleotides) under uncultured bacterium. Its description in RNAcentral is "partial 16S ribosomal RNA". It matches the Rfam family "Bacterial small subunit ribosomal RNA", at positions 509 to 809 of the family's 1533-position model. The record is from RNAcentral.
CAGCAGCCGCGGUAAUACGGAGGGUGCAAGCGUUAAUCGGAAUUACUGGGCGUAAAGCGCACGCAGGCGGUCUGUCAAGUCGGAUGUGAAAUCCCCGGGCUCAACCUGGGAACUGCAUCCGAAACUGGCAGGCUAGAGUCUUGUAGAGGGGGGUAGAAUUCCAGGUGUAGCGGUGAAAUGCGUAGAGAUCUGGAGGAAUACCGGUGGCGAAGGCGGCCCCCUGGACAAAGACUGACGCUCAGGUGCGAAAGCGUGGGGAGCAAACAGGAUUAGAUACCCCGGUAGUCCUGUCUCUUAUACA